This 124-nucleotide non-coding RNA is filed under the name Lancefieldella rimae. RNAcentral describes it as "yjdF RNA". It matches the Rfam family "azaaromatic riboswitch aptamer (yjdF RNA)", at positions 5 to 92 of the family's 101-position model. Lineage: Bacteria; Bacillati; Actinomycetota; Coriobacteriia; Coriobacteriales; Atopobiaceae. The record is from RNAcentral.
ACAGAGAUAAAAACGCAACGUAUAUCACCAAGAUAUACCAGAGCCGGUAGGUAGCCCGGCCGUCUCAUAUCAUCAUAAUGAGAUAAGUAACCUGCCCCUCCGGGUUGUCCAUUCUUUGUCCAUA